CCUACGGGUGGCAGCAGUGGGGAAUAUUGGACAAUGGGCGAAAGCCUGAUCCAGCCAUGCCGCGUGUGUGAAGAAGGCCUUCGGGUUGUAAAGCACUUUCAGUGGGGAAGAAAGCCUUGGGGCUAAUACCCUCGAGGAAGGACAUCACCCACAGAAGAAGCACCGGCUAACUCCGUGCCAGCAGCCGCGGUAAUACGGAGGGUGCGAGCGUUAAUCGGAAUUACUGGGCGUAAAGCGCGCGUAGGCGGUCUGAUAAGCCGGUUGUGGAAGCCCCGGGCUCAACCUGGGAACGGCAUCCGGAACUGUCAGGCUAGAGUGCAGGAGAGGAAGGUAGAAUUCCCGGUGUAGCGGUGAAAUGCGUAGAGAUCGGGAGGAAUACCAGUGGCGAAGGCGGCCUUCUGGACUGACACUGACGCUGAGGUGCGAAAGCGUGGGUAGCAAACAGGAUUAGAUACCCCUGUAGUC
This 465-nucleotide ribosomal RNA is filed under the name Vreelandella stevensii. Its description in RNAcentral is "partial 16S ribosomal RNA". It matches the Rfam family "Bacterial small subunit ribosomal RNA", at positions 338 to 795 of the family's 1533-position model. Lineage: Bacteria; Pseudomonadati; Pseudomonadota; Gammaproteobacteria; Oceanospirillales; Halomonadaceae. The record is from RNAcentral.